This 354-nucleotide ribosomal RNA is filed under the name uncultured bacterium. Its description in RNAcentral is "bacterial SSU rRNA". It matches the Rfam family "Bacterial small subunit ribosomal RNA", at positions 1037 to 1390 of the family's 1533-position model. The record is from RNAcentral.
GGUGUUGCAUGGCUGUCGUCAGCUCGUGUCGUGAGAUGUUGGGUUAAGUCCCGCAACGAGCGCAACCCUCAUCCUUAGUUACCAUCAGGUAAUGCUGGGGACUUUAAGGAAACUGCCAGUGAUAAACUGGAGGAAGGUGGGGAUGAUGUCAAGUCAUCAUGGCCCUUAUGGAGUGGGCUACACACGUGCUACAAUGGUGGCUACAAUGGGCUGCAAAGUCGCGAGGCUAAGCUAAUCCCUNAAAAGCCAUCUCAGUUCGGAUUGUACUCUGCAACUCGAGUGCAUGAAGUUGGAAUCGCUAGUAAUCGUGGAUCAGCACGCCACGGUGAAUACGUUCCCGGGUCUUGUACACAC